GGGGGUGUACACACCUAGAACUGUAUAUGAGAGCUAAACUACAAGGAAACCUGAAAACUGGGAAUGACAAUAACAAAAGUGGAAAUACUCGCUGGCCAGUUGGAGUAUGUUUUUCUUUUCAUAAGGGGUUAGGGUGCAAGUUCAAUGAUAAAUGCAAGUUUCAGCACAGAUGUUUUAACUGUGGUUUUAACCACUCAUUUUCAGCAUGUAAAAAACCGGUUCGGCUACCCUACAAGUUCACACACAAAACAGUAACAACAUAAAAAAGAUACAAGGUGGGAAUAACCAGCCCUUUCGUGGUCCCUCCGUAUCUAAUAACAGAGACGACACCUCUUCCCCAAGGACAGAAAAAACUGUCCCCACUAGAAAAUGAGGUUAAAUAUAAUUUUCAUAGCAAUACACCAGUCAAGGUUGAUAGGCUUGGAUAUUGGUUAAAAGGAUAUAAUAUAAAAAUGUACAAUUAUUUGGUUAACGGCUUUAAAUUUGGAUUCGAUGUUGGAUUCAGAGGUUCUGUUAAUCAUAAUACAGUUGAUAAUUUAUUAUCAGCAAAGACAAAACCGGAGAUUGUGAGACAAAAAAUUCAAAAUGAAAUUAAUGCGAAUAGAUUUGUUGGCCCUUUUGAUGUAAAACCUUUUACAGAAAUGCAAUUAUCCCCCUUUGGGACUAGCAGAAAAGAAAAUACCUGGGACAUAUAGAAUGAUCCACCACUUAUCCUUCCCUGAAGGCUCAUCAAUCAAUGACAAUAUA
Molecule: long non-coding RNA, 747 nt
Filed under: Mytilus galloprovincialis (Mediterranean mussel)
Lineage: Eukaryota; Metazoa; Mollusca; Bivalvia; Mytilida; Mytilidae
Source: RNAcentral